RNAcentral lists this ribosomal RNA (495 nucleotides) under uncultured bacterium. RNAcentral describes it as "partial 16S ribosomal RNA". It matches the Rfam family "Bacterial small subunit ribosomal RNA", at positions 28 to 505 of the family's 1533-position model. The record is from RNAcentral.
GAUGAACGCUGGCGGCGUGCCUAAUACAUGCAAGUCGAGCGAACAGACGAGGAGCUUGCUCCUCUGACGUUAGCGGCGGACGGGUGAGUAACACGUGGAUAACCUACCUAUAAGACUGGGAUAACUUCGGGAAACCGGAGCUAAUACCGGAUAAUAUAUUGAACCGCAUGGUUCAAUAGUGAAAGACGGUUUUGCUGUCACUUAUAGAUGGAUCCGCGCCGCAUUAGCUAGUUGGUAAGGUAACGGCUUACCAAGGCAACGAUGCGUAGCCGACCUGAGAGGGUGAUCGGCCACACUGGAACUGAGACACGGUCCAGACUCCUACGGGAGGCAGCAGUAGGGAAUCUUCCGCAAUGGGCGAAAGCCUGACGGAGCAACGCCGCGUGAGUGAUGAAGGUCUUCGGAGCGUAAAACUCUGUUAUUAGGGAAGAACAAAUGUGUAAGUAACUAUGCACGUCUUGACGGUACCUAAACAGAAAGCCACGGCUAACUACG